Molecule: ribosomal RNA, 499 nt
Filed under: uncultured bacterium
Lineage: Bacteria
Description: partial 16S ribosomal RNA
Rfam family: Bacterial small subunit ribosomal RNA
Source: RNAcentral
GACGAACGCUGGCGGCGUGCCUAAUACAUGCAAGUCGAGCGAAGUUUUUCUGGUGCUUGCACCGGAAAAACUUAGCGGCGAACGGGUAAGUAACACGUAAAGAACCUGCCUCAUAGACUGGGACAACUAUUGGAAACGAUAGCUAAUACCGGAUAACAGCAUUAACUGCAUGGUUGAUGUUUAAAAGUUGGUUUUGCUAACACUAUGAGAUGGCUUUGCGGUGCAUUAGCUAGUUGGUGGGGUAAAGGCCUACCAAGGCGACGAUGCAUAGCCGACCUGAGAGGGUGAUCGGCCACACUGGGACUGAGACACGGCCCAGACUCCUACGGGAGGCAGCAGUAGGGAAUCUUCCGCAAUGGGCGAAAGCCUGACGGAGCAACGCCGCGUGAGUGAAGAAGGAUUUCGGUUCGUAAAGCUCUGUUGUUAGGGAAGAAUGAUUGUGUAGUAACGAUACACAGUAGAGACGGUACCUAACCAGAAAGCCACGGCUAACUACGUG